AAAAGUAAGUAAGGGCACAUGGCGGAUGCCUUGGCUCUCGGAGGCGAUGAAGGACGUGAUAAGCUGCGAUAAGCUGCGGGUAGGUGCAAAUGACCUUUGAUCCGCGGAUUUCCGAAUGGGACAACCCGGUACUUUGAAGAAGUAUCAUCCUGCAUUGCAGGAGGCUAACGCAGGGAACUGAAACAUCUUAGUACCUGCAGGAAAAGAAAAUAAACAAUGAUUCCCCCAGUAGUGGCGAGCGAACGGGGAACAGCCCAAACCAUCCAUGUUACGGCAUGGGUGGGGUUGUAGGACCACGCCGUGGCAAGAAAGUUGGUGAGCAGAAUGUUCUGGAAAGUACAGCCAUAGAGCAUGACAGCUGCGUAUGCGAAGCCAAGCGAAGCCUAGUGGUAUCCUGAGUAGCGCGGAGCACGAGGAAUUCUGCGUGAAUCUGCCGGGACCAUCCGGUAAGGCUAAAUACUCCCGAGAGACCGAUAGUGAACCAGUACUGUGAAGGAAAGGUGAAAAGCACUUCGAACAGAAGAGUGAAAUAGUUCCUGAAACCAUGUGCCUACAAGCGGUCGGAGCACCUUCUGGUGUGACGGCGUGCCUUUUGCAUAAUGAACCUACGAGUUACUUUUUCCGGCGAGGUUAAGGAUUUCAGAUCUGCAGCCGAAGCGAAAGCGAGUCUGAACAGGGCGUAUAGUCGGAAGGAGUAGACGCGAAACCAAGUGAUCUACCCUUGGGCAGGUUGAAGGAUGGGUAACACCAUCUGGAGGACCGAACCAAUAAGCGUUGAAAAGCUUCUGGAUGACCUGAGGGUGGGGGUGAAAGGCUAAUCAAACUUGGAGAUAGCUCGUACUCCCCGAAAUGCAUUUAGGUGCAGCCUUGACUUAUACUGGCAUGAGGUAGAGCGACUGAUAAGAUGCGAGGGCUUCACCGCCUAUCAAGUCUUGACAAACUCCGAAUGCGUGUCAGUUCUAUGUCAGGAGUGAGGGCAUGGGUGCUAAGGUCCAUGUCCUAAAGGAGAACAAUCCGGACCAACAGCUAAGGUCCCGAAAUGAAUACUAAGUUGAACUAACGAAGUCAGAUUGCUAAGACAGCUAGGAUGUUGGCUUGGAAGCAGCCAUUCAUUUAAAGAGUGCGUAACAGCUCACUAGUCGAGGAGUUUGGCGUGGAUAAUAAUCGGGCAUAAGUAUUCUACCGAAGCUUUGGGAUGAGAAAUCAUCGGUAGGGGAGCAUUCCACUCGGCGUCGAAGGUGAAGCGCGAGCUUUGCUGGAGCGUGUGGAAAAGCAAAUGUAGGUAUAAGUAACGAUAAAGGGGGUGGGAAACCCCCUCGCCGAAAGACUAAGGUUUCCUGAUCAACGCUAAUCGGAUCAGGGUAAGUCGGGUCCUAAGGCUCAGCCGAACGGCGAGGCCGAUGGCAGAACCGGUUAAUAUUCCGGUACUACCUGUGGGAGUGACGUGGAGACGGAGUCGUGACAGCGCCGCGGACUGACGGAAUAGUCCGUUGAAGGGUGUAGAUGCUGAUUGUUCCAGGCAAAUCCGGAGCAAGAGUCGAACCUGACAGUAUGGAGCGUUCUUAGAACAAUCCAAUAGUGCGUGUAAUCAUACUUCCAAGAAAAUCCGCUAAACUUAAUCCUGCAGGUACCCGUACCGCAAACGGACACACGUAGUCGGGUUGAAUAUACUAAGGCGCUUGAGUGAUUCACGGUUAAGGAACUAGGCAAACUGACCCUGUAACUUCGGGAUAAAGGGUCCUCGCUUUACGGCGAGGCGCAGAGAAUAGGUCCAGGCAACUGUUUAACAAAAACACAGGGCUGUGCAAAAUUGAAAGAUGAAGUAUACAGCCUGACACCUGCCCGGUGCUGGAAGGUUAAGAGGAGAUGUCAUCGCAAGAGAAGCAUUGAAUUGAAGCCCCAGUAAACGGCGGCCGUAACUAUAACGGUCCUAAGGUAGCGAAAUUCCUUGUCGGGUAAGUUCCGACCUGCACGAAUGGUGUAAUGAUCUGGACGCUGUCUCAACCGUGAGC
Molecule: ribosomal RNA, 2012 nt
Filed under: gut metagenome
Description: bacterial LSU rRNA
Rfam family: Bacterial large subunit ribosomal RNA
Source: RNAcentral